Molecule: ribosomal RNA, 497 nt
Filed under: uncultured bacterium
Lineage: Bacteria
Description: partial 16S ribosomal RNA
Rfam family: Bacterial small subunit ribosomal RNA
Source: RNAcentral
GAUGAACGCUGGCGGCGUGCCUAAUACAUGCCAGUCGAGCGAACGGACGAGAAGCUUGCUGCUCUGAUGUUAGCGGCGGACGGGGGAGUAACACGUGGAGAACCUACCUAUCAGACUGGGAUAACUUCGGGAAACCGGAGCUAAUACCGGAUAAUAUUUUGAGCCGCAUGGUUCAAAAGUGAAAGACGGUCUUGCUGUCACUUAUAGAUGGAUCCGCGCUGCAUUAGCUAGUUGGUAAGGUAACGGCUUACCAAGGCAACGAUGCAUAGCCGACCUGAGAGGGUGAUCGGCCACACUGGAGCUGAGACACGGUCCAGACUCCUACGGGAGGCAGCAGUAGGGAAUAUUACGCAAUGGGCGAAAGCCUGACGGAGCAACGCCGCGUGAUUGAUGAAGGUCUUCGGAUCGUAAAACUCUGUUAUUAGGGAAGAAGAUAUGUGUAAGUAACUGUGCACAGCUUGACGGUACCUAAUCAGAAAGCCACGGCUAACUACGUG